Takifugu rubripes (torafugu) is the source of this 2072-nucleotide long non-coding RNA. The record is from Ensembl. Lineage: Eukaryota; Metazoa; Chordata; Actinopteri; Tetraodontiformes; Tetraodontidae.
AUGAAUCAGAAGCUCCAUAUUUUCCCGACUCAUAACUGGGAUUCUGUAGCUGACAGAAGUUCCCAACCACUGCUGGUUUCUGUUAGGAGUGUUUCCCUCUCCCCCCCCCUGUCUGUGUCUCGUCUGUGUUUCCACUGUCGGUUUAUUUCCAGGCUGGGCGGAGCGGCUUCCAGACUCCCCCCGUCCGGCGAUCGAUGCACACCUGGAACCCAUCUCCAGCCAAUCACCCACACCUGCCAUCCGUUUUAUAAGCCUGGUCCACAUCUAAUUAUUCACCAAUUUGUUGUUAACCCCCCUGUGAUCGCCCUUCUUGGAUUCCUGUUUGUGCCACCCAGCUUGCUCCUGUUGGAUCGUGUUUCUUCUGCUGCCUGCACCUCUUGGUUUCUGCCUUAAACCUUUCACAGUUAAAGAACCUUUACUCCAACUCCAGCCAUUCAAAAGAAUAAACUGCAUCUACCUUCCAGCUGCUGUCCACCCAGCUCUGUGAGGACGGUUGCAGACUUGAAACAUUCUGUUGAUGCUGCUUUCUGAAUUCUGAGUGAUAAUAUAAUAAACAUGCAGAAUAAUUUAUGCAACCAGGUUGGACUUGGUGAUUGUGUGUGACAUAUAUGUGUGUUUUAUAUAUUUAUAUGUGCCAAAUCAAGAUAAUGACAAAAUUCAAAUAAAGUUAAAUUAGGAGGAUUCACAGUGGAGCAUUUUUGGUUGGUCACGUCAGUGGAAGCUACUCUACGGACCAGCACAUCAAAGAUUUCUACUAAUCCUCCUUCUAUCCCCAGGCUGCACACAGCCAGGCUGGAGAGCUUUUUCAUGGAUUAGAAGAUGCCCCCUUAUCCCCCUUGUCUGACUCUGGUGGUUUCAGGGGUUGCUGUCAGGUCAGGUCAUGGAUGGGUUUUCUUCUCUGGUCACAGACAUUUAACUUUCUCCAUUCUUUUAAGUCAUUAAGUGUGUUUUUAAUAUUUACAUUAGUGUUCAUACAAUUAUUGGCUUAUAGCGAGAACUUGAAGAGACAUUCUUUAUGUUUCAGGUUCAUGCUGUGAAUAAACCAGAGGAGGAAAAGAUUAUCCCUGGUGUCAUGGUUGGUGGCCAGGAGGAAUCUGACGAAGGUUUUAGGACACACUUCAAAAGUGGAGACUAGAGCCGGAGUAUUGGAGCGCCCCGAUCAGGCAGCGCUGUGGACACCUGUCUCACCAGGUAUAUGGAAAAGCAUUAAGAUAGGUUGAGCCAUGGACUGCAAAGCUCAGGUUCCUUUAUCUAACUUUGGCAUCCCACUGGUAAUGUGAUGGUGAUUAUAUGUCAUACAGUGUGUUUGCAUGUGCUCCAUAUAUAAUAAUUUACAUUUAUUAUCCUGCCCACUGCAAGAACAGUGUAGAAUAGAAAGGCCUUACAAAAAGCAUUAGCAUCGAAGAACCACUGCAACUGAGGAGGCAAAAUUCUCUACUAGGCCAGAAUUCCUGACAAAAUGUGAGCAAGAUUAUUCCGGGAUGCAUUGACAUGACUCAUGAAUUUUGGUUCCUGGAGCUGUAGCAUCUUAUGUGGUUGUUGCUUACGAUCAUUCUCCCAGUGCUGCCAUUUCACCUGUGCACUGUCUCCUAGUGUGAUUCCACAGUCAGCCCUGUUGAAUGAACAAGAAAGCCACAGAUCAGUGCUGUAAUUUUGCUGUUGCUGCUGUUUCUGCCACCUGGUGUUAGAUACUGUCACCCUACUGUUGCAGCUAGACUCUAGCUGCUAGAGUAUACAGUGGUAUGAGAAAGUUUAGGCACCCCCUCUGAGGUUGUGUAAUAAUGGACUCUGACUUCACACAAAAUUAUCUUGGUGGCAUGUCCUUCAUUUGCCCAUAAGUGCCAAGUGUUAGCUUGAUUUCCAAACACAGAUUUUAAGUAUUCAUAGUAUGCAAUUGUAUGAAAUUAAAUCAAAUGUAUAAAAUAGGCUGUGCAAAAAUGUGGGAACCCUUGUCAUUUUUUCUGCUUUGAUGGCCUGCAACUUAUCAUCACAAGAUAAUUGGACACACAAAGUUGGUUUGGUGAGCUCGUUAAGCCUUGAACUUAAUCGACAGUUGCAUCCAAUAAUGUCAA